This is a long non-coding RNA of Ruditapes philippinarum (Manila clam), 1003 nucleotides long. RefSeq lists it as uncharacterized. NCBI's taxonomy places the organism in Eukaryota, Metazoa, Mollusca, Bivalvia, Venerida, Veneridae. The transcript is spliced from 3 exons. The record is from RefSeq and is a predicted model, not a curated record.
UUUGAUCCCAGCAAACACAUGACGUUAAAAUAACGUCGGAUUAAUGUUAGAUUUUGGUCACGACGUCGGCGACCAAAAUACGACGUAAAUCUGACGUUAAAAUACCGAUGUCUAAUAGACGUUUCUUUUUGACGUCGUACUAACGUCAGGUUCUGGUCGGUGUCCUGACGGUAGGUAAAAAAAUAACAAAAAAUAAUCCUUAUUCGCUGUUGUAAUCAUUUAAACUUUUUUUCAAAUGUUAUUUGGAUUACAAAUGAAGUGUUCUUAUAUAAAUACAGACCAAGAUCGCGGCGCUGCAACCUAAUAAAACAUAUAGGUGGCGCUGUAUAUAGGCAAGUUACAUGUGUUAUUGUUAUGAAAUCUAUUUAUAGCCACAGAUCUGUUUACAAGUUCCAAUCAUUUAACGUUAUAAUAUUAUCAUUUGCGGUACAUUAUAUGUAUCAAAAUCACGAGGUUUUUAAUGGUGCUUUAACAUUUAAUCAUAGUGACAGAAAAGGGAAAUAAAACAUAAUUAACCUAUAAUUCGAAUCUAAAGUCACGUGGAUGGAAAUUCAAAUUCGUAGGCGUUACGUUUUGGCUGUCGGUCAGGAAUCGGGAUGCAUUGAUAAAGUGAAUAUUAUAGAUUUUCUUGAACAAAAAGGUAGUUAAAGUGUUGGACUAGCUCUCAAAGGUCGGAGGGACGGAAACACGUGAAUAUGUAAAAAGAAACAUAUGAAAUGAAAAUGAUGUCACACACGCUAUUGGACGCUACAAAUGCUACAUAUCCUCCGGACAGACGAGGGGUGCUGAAAGAAGGUCAUAUCUUAAAGCAUCACACCUCAAAAUUCGUGCUAAUUCUCAUGGAUAUCUAAAAGUAUAACUUUGUGAAGUAACUAAAAGGCAGCAAUUUAUACAUUACUGACAAUUAUCAAAGGAGGUCAAAAUAUGCAAAAUGGCACUAAAUGUUUUAGAAAUGCUGUAGAAAUAUAGUUAAAAUACUGAAAAUCUUUCAUUAAUUGUUUGA